This 624-nucleotide ribosomal RNA is filed under the name Klebsiella aerogenes. Its description in RNAcentral is "partial 23S ribosomal RNA". It matches the Rfam family "Bacterial large subunit ribosomal RNA", at positions 200 to 867 of the family's 2925-position model. Lineage: Bacteria; Pseudomonadati; Pseudomonadota; Gammaproteobacteria; Enterobacterales; Enterobacteriaceae. The record is from RNAcentral. RNAcentral also lists the same sequence under 2 other names.
AUCUAAGUACCCCGAGGAAAAGAAAUCAACCGAGAUUCCCCCAGUAGCGGCGAGCGAACGGGGAGCAGCCCAGAGUCUGAAUCAGCUUGUGUGUUAGUGGAACGGUCUGGAAAGUCCGACGGUACAGGGUGAUAGUCCCGUACACCAAAAUGCACAGGCUGUGAACUCGAAGAGUAGGGCGGGACACGUGGUAUCCUGUCUGAAUAUGGGGGGACCAUCCUCCAAGGCUAAAUACUCCUGACUGACCGAUAGUGAACCAGUACCGUGAGGGAAAGGCGAAAAGAACCCCGGCGAGGGGAGUGAAAAAGAACCUGAAACCGUGUACGUACAAGCAGUGGGAGCACCUUCGGGUGUGACUGCGUACCUUUUGUAUAAUGGGUCAGCGACUUAUAUUCUGUAGCAAGGUUAACCGUAUAGGGGAGCCGCAGGGAAACCGAGUCUUAACUGGGCGUUAAGUUGCAGGGUAUAGACCCGAAACCCGGUGAUCUAGCCAUGGGCAGGUUGAAGGUUGGGUAACACUAACUGGAGGACCGAACCGACUAAUGUUGAAAAAUUAGCGGAUGACUUGUGGCUGGGGGUGAAAGGCCAAUCAAACCGGGAGAUAGCUGGUUCUCCCCGAAAGCU